Triticum dicoccoides is the source of this 1217-nucleotide long non-coding RNA. RefSeq lists it as uncharacterized. The transcript has 3 exons. NCBI's taxonomy places the organism in Eukaryota, Viridiplantae, Streptophyta, Magnoliopsida, Poales, Poaceae. The record is from RefSeq and is a predicted model, not a curated record.
UGGAGGUUUAUUCAUGGUACCCCGAUGAUGGAUGAAGAGACCUCUGCCACCCCGUCUCUCAUCAUGGGCUGGCGUGGAACCAGGGAAAGAUUUGGUCAUACCCUCCUCUUCUUCAAUCCAGCUUGAUCUAUGCUCGCAGGUUACGCCGACACCUCCAACAUCCUGGUAUCUUCCUUAUGUACACCCAUGUCUCCGUGCAGCAGCAGCCUCCUCCUCUUUCCACGCGCGUCCCCUUCAUCAUGCCUUCAACUUUGAUCCAAUUGCCACCUCUGGACUCUCCUCCCUCGAGCCCUAUAAUUCAUGGUUGUUUGCUGCCUCAAUUUCACCACCACUCAAGGGAGUCAAUCUGAGCGGCUUUCGUGGGCGUCAACUGAGCGGUAAUUUUCCUAAUCUCAGUUUCCAAGGUUCACUUUUUACAUCAUGCGUUCAUCAGCUUCAAAGAUGAAUUCAUGACAGUCGGCGGUGUUCGUAGUCAAAGAUGGAUUCACAGCAGCCUACAAUGUUAAUCACCAUUGCUGUAUAUGCAGUGUUCAGAACGGAGUACUUCAACUUUCUAUCAGCAUGCAGUCAACACGUGAUCAAACAGAUAUAGAUUAGAAUUUGAAUUUUUUUGAUUUGGUUCAUGCUUAUGUAGGCAUAUAUCGAUGAGGUAUGUGAUAAUAUGCAUGUGGUAUAUACAACUAAAACAUUUGUAUGCAUGUACAACUAUGUAUUUUUUAAUUUGUAGCUCUUGGUAGCUGUCCAUUGCUCCAUAUGUGUUUCUUUGUCGUAAGAAGUCUGAUGGUUCUUCUCCUACUUUUCAUUAAAAAAAAUCUAUGUUUCAGUUCUCUAUACAGAAAUUCGGAAAUGAGUGAAACCAAUGAAUUCCCCAGCAUGAUUUUAUCCUAAUUGUUUACUAUAGUUUGAGCAGGAAUUGCAUGUAUAUGUGACAAGCUUACAAUGCAACAAGGUAAUAUAGAGCCUCUUGGUAGCCAUCCAUCUCUCCAUAUGUGAUUCUUUGCCCUGAGAAGUCUGAUGGUUGUUCUCCUACUUUUUCAGUAAAAAAAUGUAUGUUUCGGUUCUUUGUACAGAAACUCAGAAAUGGGUGAAACCAAUAAAUUCCCCAGCAUGAUUUUAUCCUAAUUGUUUACUAUAGUUCCAGCAGGAAUUGCGUGUAUAUAUGACAACUUUACAAUGCAACAAGAUAGUAUAGAGACUUAUAGAAGCGUUUCUAUCUC